AGCAAAGUGAUGAGGUCUUAAUAUCUGAAUAUGAUGUGGAUUCCUAAUUUCAAAUGGUCUUCAAAAUUCUCGGAUUGCU
Molecule: non-coding RNA, 79 nt
Organism: Glycine soja
Lineage: Eukaryota; Viridiplantae; Streptophyta; Magnoliopsida; Fabales; Fabaceae
Source: Rfam